CAGCCGCCGCGGGAAUACAUAUGGUGCGAGCGUUAAUCGGAUUUACUGGGCGUAAAGCGUGCGUAGGCGGCUUCUUAAGUCGGAUGUGAAAUCCCUGAGCUUAACUUAGGAAUUGCAUUCGAUACUGGGAAGCUAGAGUAUGGGAGAGGAUGGUAGAAUUCCAGGUGUAGCGGUGAAAUGCGUAGAGAUCUGGAGGAAUACCGAUGGCGAAGGCAGCCAUCUGGCCUAAUACUGACGCUGAGGUACGAAAGCAUGGGGAGCAAACAGGAUUAGAUACCCCUGUAGUCCCUGUCUCUUAUAC
This 301-nucleotide ribosomal RNA is filed under the name uncultured bacterium. Its description in RNAcentral is "partial 16S ribosomal RNA". It matches the Rfam family "Bacterial small subunit ribosomal RNA", at positions 509 to 807 of the family's 1533-position model. The record is from RNAcentral.